This 21-nucleotide microRNA is filed under the name Picea abies (Norway spruce). RNAcentral's name for it is "pab-miR3710b". The record is from miRBase by way of RNAcentral. Lineage: Eukaryota; Viridiplantae; Streptophyta; Pinopsida; Pinales; Pinaceae.
UUGGGAACCUGACGGGUCUCC